Alexandromys fortis (reed vole) is the source of this 4493-nucleotide long non-coding RNA. RefSeq lists it as uncharacterized. The record is from RefSeq and is a predicted model, not a curated record. NCBI's taxonomy places the organism in Eukaryota, Metazoa, Chordata, Mammalia, Rodentia, Cricetidae. The transcript has 2 exons.
UGGCAGCUCCAAAAGGCUGUCUGGCCUCCAUAGCAUACCUAGCGCCUCUAAGCCUCUGCUGCCCAUUCCACAAGCAAAGCCCCAACUACUACCAUAUGGCUUAAAUCCCAUUUGGGCUUUGUGGCCCUUUUAAUCUGAUCCCUGCAAUGCUGAGUACCCACAGAAACGAAGCUGUGUAUGAAGUGAUAAGGGCUCCUCACCACCAGCUAAGUGCAGAUUCACACAUCUACGGAUGGCACCCCCAAUUCCUCCAUGGGUGAAGCUAUCAGGAAAAAGCGAGUCAGACCUGCUCCAGCACACAGCAGUUCGUGGGGAAGGAGGCACCCAGACCCCUAAGUACCACAGCCUGUCCUAGGACUAACCUUGAUGUCCCUAAUGCAGUACUAGAGCAGUCUAGCUGCAGGGGUCUGUGUGUGUGUCUGGAUAUUUGAAGUGUGGAUGGCAGAUGGCAGCAAACACUACGAUAAACUUGCUGAAUGUCAGGGUACAUUCAAGUGUCACUAGGAUGCAUGCAACCUGUGUGUUAGAGUGGGGGGGGGAUGUAGCUCUUAAUAACAGAUUUGUGGGAGCGCAUGUGUGACUCAGUUUCCAUCUGGAGUCAUUUCUAACUUGAAGUCAUUUGAGUUCAAGCUUGCCUACUCUGCUUCUCCCAGUAACUUUGAGUCAGGCUGUGUUAACCCAUAGAAAGAUCAUUUUUGCCCAGCUGAAAGAGCACACUUUUUUCUACUAAGAUUUGGGCUGGUGUGUGCCAGCCAGAGGCACUCCUCGUUAGAGAUUAGAAGUUGCUUAGCUGAAUAAGAUAAUGCACCUGCUUGAACUUCCUCCCAGGGACAGUGCAGGGAGGUGGUCAGCUGGCUGUACUGCUCUUUGUUCUGCUUUUUGCCUGUAGUAUAUAUGAUGCCUGAGAAAUAAACUCGGGGCUGUUUGGUAUUAGCUUUCGGUCCUCCAGGUCUAUCCUAUGUUUCUGUCUUCAUUUCUCUUCAUCAAACAUUUCCUCAGCUCAGCGUUCCCUCCAAAGGAACCCCCAGCAGAUUUUGACCGGAGUGGACUCUGACAGAGUGGUGCCAAGUAUGGNGGGGGGGGGGGGGGGGGGGGGGGGGGGGGGGGGGGGGGGGGGGGGGGGGGGGGGGGGGGGGGAACGACAGGACACCAACGUGACGGUCGCCGUGGGGUGAAAGAGGGCACUCAGUAAAAGGGAGUUAGUUCUAUGGCGAGCCUCACCGGGAGCCCUGCGAUGUAAAUACAAAGACAUGAGGCAGGCUGCUCUAGCCUCCUGUGCAUUUUUAUUGCAUAAGUUCCAAAACUUUGGGUUCUGAAGAAAAACUUCUCAACGGAGAAGUACGGCAAGGGCCACCCCACUCCUUCAAGGCGGUGUGUGCACAGGCUGAGCUGGGCAGAGCAGCGACUCUGGAAAGACAUGCUCAUGCGUACGGGGCGGCAGACCACUGACUGCUUGCAGUUGAAAAACUGCAUGAAUGUGAAACAGAGAAUCUGAAAUUGUGGCUGGAGAAGUUAUCAAAUUAUUUUUCAGGAAUCCUGGCAAUCAAGGAUACUCUGUGCCCACCAGCGCUGCUCCUCUUUUCUUUUCUAAGCCAAGUUCUUCUUCACUGUGAUAACACUCAAGGUCUCUUCUGCUGGCCAGCAGUUUCUCAUCUUAACUCUUCUCUGUCCUGAUACUGCUUGAAAAAAAAUGUUGACUCAUAACAACCAGUACACUUUGGGAAGCGUUGAUUUUAAACUAAAAGUCAAAGAUGCACAAUGUUUGGGGGGAAAAUGUGCUUUCGUUUCCACAGGAAAAAAAAUAUGGGUUUUAGUUAUUUAGAUCUGAUGGGUUACAAAUAUUUGUCAUCGGGAUUAAGAUAAAGAAAACUGCUAGUUUCAAAAGUUUCACACUGGUACAGGUUUUUAUAUAUCAAUGUAUAUUUAAGUUAUUCUUAUUGUGAUACAUACAUACAUAAAUAUAUAUAUUAUAUUUUGGCUCUUGUUUGAAAUGUUAUCUAUGCAAUAUUCUGGACCACUGAAAGAAAUCAGAAGGAGGCAUUGAUGGAGAUUUGCAUGCUGUCUGAAGGAUAAGGGCACAAACAAGAGAGUGAAAUAAAGUAGGGAAAUGAAUUUGUCUAUGAGCAAUGCUGAGUUUAAAAGAAAACUAUAAAAACGCUGGAGAUUUUACCAUGUUAAUUCUGGUUGAUUUUCUUCAUUAGCGAGGCUGGUAUUCGUCACUGCAGAGUAGUUAUGCUAAUAAUGGGAUCGUGUUCUCUAAAGAAGGAAGACUGAGGUCCUAAAUACAAGUAUUAAUUAAUCAUCAUAUUGCAACCCUCUGAGUUAUAUGGUUUUAUAUGAUUGACCUCCCAUGAAAUGACAAGCUAAAGCUCUUGUCUAUUCGGACUUCCAUAGAGAAGUUCAGACAUAUUUCUUAAAAACUGUCAACAUUAUGUCUAUGAUCCAUGAAUGGAAACUGCAGUCUAACUGCUCCUAUGAUGGUUAAUAAUAGGACAAAAUGUUUAUGAGUCUAUAUUAAUUCUGAGGGUCUAAAAUAUAUAAAGGCCUGAGGACAUCAAUACAGGUUAGAAGGCUCUGAAGGCAUAAAAGCUUGGAUUAUAUGGAUCUGAGAGGAUAUUCUCAAAAAUAUAGAUACAAUUUGUAAGAAAUAAUGGCUUAAGAUGUAUAUAGAAAUUAUUACAAGAUUUCUUUCCCCUUCCACAGUUAUUAUACUAGGACUACAAAACUUCGGAAUUUAACAUUAAUAGUGUUCUGACAAGCUAAUAGAGCAACGACUGCUUACUGUUUGGGUCACAAGCUCAAGAUUUUAAAUUUCUUUUGGUUGUCUUCUGAACAUAGGUUAUAUGCUGUUUAGCCCAAAUCUAUAGUAUUUGCUAGGACUCAAGGAUGGAGUUUGUUCCUGUUGUUUUAUGGAUACCUAUUGCCUGCUUUGUCUACACUAUGGAUUUCAGUACAGAUUGAUAACGCUAAUAUAUCGAAAACUUUUAUACUUUUCUUUUUAUAAAAUGGAGAUUCAUACAAACUUCAGAAAAUGGAGAGAAUUAUAAAACUUGGAGCCACUUCUCACAAGGUAAAAGGAUUAUGGUAUUUUUCUCUCUCUCCUGGUCUUGGGACUCUUCCCCUUCCUUAAUUAUUGAGACUAUGCAUUUACAAUUUUCAAAUGAGUCCAUGAAUUUAACUUCUGUUCCCAGUCUGUAUCUGUCUCACCAGGUUCCCACUUGGGAGACAAACACACCCAAGCAUCAAUCAACAACCUGCUCCAAAUGACUACGAGUCCUGAACUUGCUAAAACCUGACGUGGACCAAUCCAGCCAAUGUGAUUGCUGUCUUUUCAGGUUGUCUAUGAACCAGAUGCUUCUAAGUUCCCCAUUACCUUUGACUAACAUUCUGGCCUUCCAGGGCCCUGAGAACAAUGUCCUAAGAUUAGCAGAAAGUAAUUACAGAAAUGAAUACAUCAUCCCUGUUCCCUCUCUGGAAUAUUAGAUAAAAAGGGAAUUUCUCUGACAAUCAUCACAGGGAUUUUGGUCACUGACGCAUUGUAUAAAUGGUAAUUCCUGUCUGGGUGCCAUUAAACUAAUGAUGCUAAAACCCCAACAUCAGCUUCUGGAACAAACUCAUCUCAGGGAUUUGAGACGAUGUACUAUGCAGGGGAAAGGACUUUGAAAGGGCACACGGGAGUCUUAAGGCUCAAUUAAAAAAUAGAAAAGCCGGGCGGUGGUGGCACGCCUUUAAUCCCAGCACUUGGGAGGCAGAGAGGCAGGGGGAUCUCUGUGAGUUCAAGGCCAGCCUGGUCUACAAGAGCUAGUUCCAGGACAGGAACCAAAAAGCUACGGAGAAACCCUGUCUCGAAAAAAAUAAAAAACAAACAAACAAACAAACAAACAUAAUAGAAAAGAGGGUGUUAGGGCUAUACCCAGUUACCAUGUAUGCAUUUUAUUUUAAAAUUUAAACUUUUAAAAUGUGGUUGUCUGCGAGCAAUCUGUCAUGAAUAGACUUCGGCAGGAAAGCACCACCACAUCAUUUGCUCAAGACUAAUCAAUACUUCACCCCCUCAACGGUAACCUCCAUGCACAAAGUAACUGAGAGAGUCUAACAGAACUUUAGAGUGGAGAUGACGGACUGGCAUUAACCCAUUAAAGUGCAACAUCACAGGGACAUCACGGUACAUUCCAGACUGAUCUGGAAAUCAAGCGGACUAUAGUGAUUCUUAUCGUUUGUCUGCAGCAGAAUCUUGAGACCAAGGAAUGUGAACUGGAAUCUGGUAUUCCAGUAUAAAAUUUCCACAGACUUACAUUUGGAAACUUGCUGCUGCCACGGGAAAAGUGGCAGGACAAUCCAGUUCUUCAAAACCUGUUUGCCCCUGAAAGGAACUGUUUGGCUUGUGUUAAAGUGCCUUAUUGUUUGGCUUGUGUUAAAGUGCAUUGUGUUAAACGUUCCUUUGGUGGGAGAGGUAAAAAUCUCCAUGAAUGUUGCUUAAUGUAUCAUGUCUUGAA